CCCCUCUCAGGGUCACACCUGGAGAGUUUUCAGUACUCUACCAGUCUCGGCUAUGGGAGGUAGAGUCAAGCAGAGGCCUACCCAUUCCAUUCCUAGCUGGGCCAGUAGCCAGCAAAUGGAAGGCAAUCUGCUACAAGU
This is a small nucleolar RNA of Tachyglossus aculeatus (Australian echidna), 138 nucleotides long. The record is from RefSeq and is a predicted model, not a curated record. NCBI's taxonomy places the organism in Eukaryota, Metazoa, Chordata, Mammalia, Monotremata, Tachyglossidae.